This 822-nucleotide unclassified non-coding RNA is filed under the name Hevea brasiliensis (rubber tree). The record is from RNAcentral. Lineage: Eukaryota; Viridiplantae; Streptophyta; Magnoliopsida; Malpighiales; Euphorbiaceae.
UCUUUCUUUUACAUUUAAUUUAUUAGUUGCUUGCACCCACUUUUUAGGAUAAAUUAAAACUUAGGAAACUGAACGCGAGACGCGCAUCUUCCCUUGGGAAGCAUUGGGCAUUCGAUGAAUUCUGAAGCUGAGGUAUCGACACACAAGUAAAUCUGGUAGAGCUGGCUGUUUCUGGAUCCAUCGACAUUGCACUCUAUCCCUGGGGUAUAACCAAUAGCGUCUUUUAUAGCUUCUUCAAUGCUAUCCAAUUCAUAAAAUUCAUCGUCUGGUUUAAUUCCAGCAUUCUUCAGAACCUGGAGAAGGUUUGCUUUUUCCUUGAGCUUCAGUGAUGCUUCGAAGUAAUCGUGCUGGUCCAGUUCAGACUCGGAGCAGGUCCCGUGCUUCUCCCAUUCAUGAGACCAAAACUUGUUGCCAUCCCCACUGGGGCAGGCCAGUGUUGGCCAAUUCUUUUGUAAACUGCUCAUCAAGUCUGAGAUCUGAGAUUUAUCAAAAACGCUGUCAGGAUUACAGUUUGAUGGGUAGCCUCCAUUAUUGUAAUUCGGCCACAGCCCAUGAAUGCCAAAAUCAGCAAUAGGUUUCCCAGUUUUUGGAUAGCAGCAACUAUGCCUGGUGUCACAGUAUGAUCCUGGCCACUGCACAUAUCAUUUACAGGAUCAAGAAUUAAAGAAACAGAUAAAUAAAUGUAUAUCAGACAAGAAUGAACUGCAUCUGUAUAUAGUAAAACGCAAGAAUAAAUACUAGAAGAAUAAGAAGAGGAGAGUUUGGAAUCGGAAGAAUAAUCGUAUAGACACCUGUAGGACAAAGUAGAAGAAAUCAAAAUCU